This 499-nucleotide ribosomal RNA is filed under the name uncultured Glomeromycotina. RNAcentral describes it as "partial small subunit ribosomal RNA". It matches the Rfam family "Eukaryotic small subunit ribosomal RNA", at positions 591 to 1092 of the family's 1831-position model. Lineage: Eukaryota; Fungi; Glomeromycota. The record is from RNAcentral.
CCAAUAGCGUAUAUUAAAGUUGCUGCAGCUAAAAAGCUCGUAGUUGAAUUUCGGGACCAAUAUGUCGGUCGUGCUUCGGUACGUACUGUCAUUAUUGGUUUCUCCCUUCUGAAGAACCUUGAUGUCAUUAAUUUGGUGUCUUGGGGAAUCAGGACUGUUACUUUGAAAAAAUUAGAGUGUUUAAAGCAGGCUCGCGCUUGAAUACAUUAGCAUGGAAUAAUGAAAUAGGACGUUUGAUUCUAUUUUGUUGGUUUCUAGGAUCGACGUAAUGAUUAAUAGGGAUAGUUGGGGGCAUUAGUAUUCAAUUGUCAGAGGUGAAAUUCUUGGAUUUAUUGAAGACUAACUACUGCGAAAGCAUUUGCCAAGGAUGUUUUCAUUAAUCAAGAACGAAAGUUAGGGGAUCGAAGACGAUCAGAUACCGUCGUAGUCUUAACCAUAAACUAUGCCGACUAGGGAUCGGAUGAUGUUAAUUUUUUAAUGACUCAUUCGGCGCCUUACG